Molecule: long non-coding RNA, 1929 nt
Filed under: Olea europaea (common olive)
Lineage: Eukaryota; Viridiplantae; Streptophyta; Magnoliopsida; Lamiales; Oleaceae
Description: long non-coding RNA (OEUR_LNC005926)
Source: RNAcentral
AGAAACUCACAGCCGUAUAUGUCCUACAGAACUCCAUUACAUCUGAAUAGUGAAAUAUCUCUCUAACUUUCGCAGAUUUUUAUAACUUAUAGUCAAACACAAUACAUCAGGUUUUUAUGCAUUUUUUUCCUUCCAAAAUCUCGAUUAUAUAUAUGUUCUAUGCAAUCUUCUUCUCAACACAACCACUGCUACACUAAACCUUUACAUAAAACUCAGGUAUACAUAUUUGAAUUGCAUAUGUUGUUUUCUAAAUAUUUUAUGACAUUCCUCUUCACAAAAAUGGAUUCCUGUCUGAAUAUAAACUAUACUUCUCUCUUCGUGUAUAAACUUUCAUUGUUGUUUCAUAGUUUGUAAUUUUAAUAUGAUAAUAUUUAUGGUUUCUUUUUCAAUGCCAUGCUGGAAAAUGAAUAAAAAAUACAAGCUCAUCCCAAAUAUCUUUCCAGGGCAAAGUGAAUGGACUACCAAAGUUAUUGUAGCCGAAAAAAGUGCACCAAAAACAGCUCAGAAUGGUUCCUCGAAAUACCUCAAAAUGACAUUAAUCGACACAGUGGUACGUUCUUCACGCCAAAACUUUCAAAGUAUGCUGAACUUUAGAAAAAUAUAACUAUAUUUCUUACUAUAUCUCUUAUUUAAUAUAAAGCAGAUAAACAAAAAAUAGACUGAAAACCCUAAUCUAUUUUCCAUUUGCAACUCAGGUUGCAUAUUUUUUAACUCAAAUAAGCCUGCAUACUUAAACCACAUAAAAUUUAACUUCUUUUUUAACAUAUGCAAGUGAUUUACAAAUUAUAAUUUCUCAACUACACAUGUAUUACAUCUAAAAUAUUGUUAUUCUAUUUUCUAUUUAAAAAGGGACACAGUGCAAGCUACAAUCUUUGAUCCCAAAUAAUAGCUUUGGAAGAUCGACUCAUCCUAUCCAAGACUUACAUAAUAUCCAAUGCAACAGUGAAAUAUACACCACCACAAUUUAGAAACUCCAUUGGUGAAUUUCAGUGGACCAUUUCUGGAACAACCAGAAUACAAGAAAUUAAAGAGGACCUGAGAAGAAGAGGGGAAGAGGAAAAGAUAGAAAUUAGGGAGACAAAUCAAUUUAUUUCAUAAUCAAAGGUUGUCCUGAUUACAUGGCAUGACCCCCUUUAUAUAGGGUUUCAAAUGAUCUUAUUCUAAGUAAGAAAAUAUUAGAAAAGCUACUAAAUCAAAUCAUAUUAAUGUUUCCUAAAAUACGAUUUGAAAUUGGAAACUAAAUAAAUAAUAUUCCUUCUAAUAUUUCAUCAUUUGUCCCCAGGUGAGAGAUUUCGACUCCAGCGAGAUAGACUAGUACUUCAUACUCCAAGAAGGUCGAUCUUUUGUCUUCACCAAAUGCUCGUACUGGACCUUGGACAAUAGCAAUUUGUUGAACCCAUACUAGGGCUGGGCAACUUUUCCGAACCGAAUCGAACCCGACAGUUCUUGUUAAAUUAAAUACCCGAACGGGUAUCUGAAUUGAGAACUGACGGGUACGGUUCGAUUUUCGAUUCUAGACUAAGAAUCGAAGAACCGAAUCUUUCUAUUUUUUUUUUAUAUUGAGUAAAUCAACUUAUUUUAAUUUUUUCUAAACAAAUUAACGAUUUCUAAAUCCAAAUUUUUGGCCCAAUAAUUUGUUUAAUUUCUAAUUUUUUAAUUUUUGGCCCAAUUACCCAUUUUAUUGUUUCAUUUCUUAGCCAAACAAGGUCAAAUCCACUGUAUAACCCUAAACACCUACGCUAAAGUGCAUAAUGUUGUCUCGACUCUCGCACUCACUCUCACAAGCUCGCUAAUAUUCCAAAACCUAUACAAUCAUCGACCGACACUGUGACCUUUGAUUGAAGCUGUGACCUCCGCCGACCGAAACUUUGAUCGUAGCGAUCAUUUGAACAAGGUAGUUUACUAGUCUCUCACAUUUCAAAACCAUUG